Long non-coding RNA from Cebus imitator (Panamanian white-faced capuchin), 1777 nucleotides. RefSeq lists it as uncharacterized. NCBI's taxonomy places the organism in Eukaryota, Metazoa, Chordata, Mammalia, Primates, Cebidae. The record is from RefSeq and is a predicted model, not a curated record. The transcript has 2 exons.
GAGAGACGCCUGGGUGGCGCUGACAUAUUGCCAGUGAGGUGCUGAGCUGUGGCUGGGUCUCACAGGUGCUGCCACCCCAACCCCCACGUGGUAGUGUGUUGGGGGUGGUGCCAAUAGUGGGGGGCAAGGACUCCCUGACAAGAGGCAGGCAGGGGCAAGGCCGGCAGACCCUGGGAGGCUGGGCCCAAGACAACGACCGGGGUCUCCGGAGCUUGAGCUCCUCCAGAACAGCAAGCCCGGGCCCCCAGCCCAUCGCCAGGCAGCUCCUCCAGGAAAGUGUUCCUGGCUGCCCUCGCACAGCAGGCCCCGUAGUAGCAGAGGGAAGCCCGGAAUCAACCGCACGCCACCCCCUCUCCCUGGAGGAGGGGGCCCUGCACAUUGGCCAUCUGCCCUGCCCUCCACCUGCCGUGGGGCGCGCCUGUUAACUCGGGACACUCACCUGCUGGCCACUAGGGGAGCGGGGGCCUUCGGCCAUCUUCCCUCCAGCUGCUCCAGACGGUACCUGGAGGAUCAGGCAGUGGGUGGGGUGAGGCCUGGCAGGGCUGUGGCCCCUGAGCAGGAGGGACUGGGGGCCCUGGCGCUUGCCUGGAGGGCACAGAAGCUCUUCAGCUCCCCAAACAGACUAUAGCCCAGGGCCACCCAGGUACUCGGUCAGCAUGAAGAGGCUGUCCCCGACCCCCACGGUGCAGGGGCCUGGGAUGGGCAGCUGGUGUCUCCGUGGCUGUGUGCUGGCUGGAGCUUUGCAGGGGAGAUGGGAGCAGACAGCACAGUUGCAGAAGAGGGAAGGGAGGGCUCAGGGGAGGGGCCGGCGGGGAGCCCCCACUUGCGGUGUGCAGCCCUCAGGGCUCGAGCGGGGCCCUGACCGCUGCCCCCACAGCUGUGCUCUUGUUCAUGAGGAUGAAGGGUCUCCUGGGAGCCUCCCUCUCAGCGCUGCCCAUGGCUGAGUCGGUACCCAAGAGCCCCUACAUGCGCUGCCUCAGCCCCUCACCACCACUCUACCACCCCUGCAGAGGCCUGGCAGAGCCUGCCCCCCCAGUCACUCACGUUCCUUCUGGGCCUCCCAGCAAAGGGUGGCGGGACACACCCUCUGGGAGGGUUAUUUGUGUCUCUCAGGAGGGACAGGCCUGCACAUCCUCCCACCCGUCCCCAGCGACUGCCCCUCCAGCUGCUCCAGCCCAUCCUUCCCUCAGUGACGUGUGCCUGCCCAAUCCCCCAGGAGCCUCCACCUCCAGCCUGCACCCUCAGGCUGGGCAGUCCCCCAACAGCAGGCGAAGCUCACACACCACCACAUCGGCCUGCUCGGGGCAGGAGGAACUGCAGGGGAAACCUGGCUGACCCCGCGGUUCAGAGCAUCAGCUGCGGGCCCAGUGAGCGGCGUGGAGACGCGUGGCUUCUCGGCCGCCAAGAUGCACAUGCUGAAGCCUGUGAGGACAUCAGACCCAGCAUGGGGACAGUCACAGCAGGGAGGGCCUGUGCCCACCAGAAGCAUCAAGGUCUGAGGAAUCAGCGAAGACAGAGGCAGGCUCCGAUGGAAGGAGACUAGAGGGGUGCAGCGGCCAAACCCCACAGGGACCGGACCGUGCCCUUCCUCGACGGAGCACGUCCCCGGCACGAUGGCUGGGCCAGGAACAGGGCUGCGUGUCACACGUUCUUUGUCCUGUGUUUGCAACUUUUCUCCAAGUAUAAAAUUCACUUAUGUAUGUGCUUAUAUUUUUCAAAAAGAAACAAAAGGUAGAAUAAACCGAAAUUAAUAAAGCUGGUAGCCUCAGAGCAGAGA